UCCCUGGUGGCUCAGAUGGUAAAGCAUCUGCCUGCAGUGCAGGAGACCUGGGUUCGAUCCCUGGGUUGGGAA
Molecule: non-coding RNA, 72 nt
Organism: Bos taurus (domestic cattle)
Lineage: Eukaryota; Metazoa; Chordata; Mammalia; Artiodactyla; Bovidae
Source: Rfam